This 2290-nucleotide long non-coding RNA is filed under the name Dicentrarchus labrax (European seabass). Its description in RNAcentral is "lncRNA (ENSDLAG00005030309.1)". Lineage: Eukaryota; Metazoa; Chordata; Actinopteri; Moronidae. The record is from RNAcentral.
AAAAAGUCACCUGCACAUUAAAUGGAUACAUGCUCAAAAAUUCUCCCUGACAAGAAAAAUCUAAACACUGAUAAUGACCUCACACACAGGCUUUGGUCACACUCAGAGUACUGCUGGACACAACCACAUACGCUCAAACAAGUUGCCCACAUACUGGCUCUGCACCAUGUCAGAUCCAAAUCUAGAUAUUUGUACUUCUGGGAGAUUGAAGGGUUCCACCUCUGCUUUUAUUCCUCAAGUGGGUGAUGCAAAAGCACUGAUUCCUCCCCCACUACCUCUCAAACGCCACCAGAGGUCACCUGAAUUUGAGACAACUUUAAGCCAGGGCCCACAACUGAAAGCCUUUAAUAUAGAGAGCUCACUGGCAUGUCAGACUUCUCUUGGGGAAGUCCCAGGGGAAGUACAUGACAUUCACAGUAGCCGCAUAUUUGGAAUUUUACCAAAAGUGGAACAAAAAUGCCACAAAAAUGAACAAACACAGUUUGCUCCAAGACCUCCUCUUACACCACCUAUAAAACCUCCACGGCCUAAUAAGCCAAAAAAGGCUGAGCUAGAGGAAGAAAAGACAGGAGACAAGAAGAACAGGCAUGAGCAAGAGCUGAUGGAAAGAAAUGAGAAUACAGAAGAGAAUGAAGAAACAUCUAAAAUAGAAAGUCAUCUGCACGUAGGUAAACCUCCACGGCAGAUCUUAGUAAUAUUUACAGAAUAUCUACGGGAGAAAGGUGGAGAGGACAGGGGAAAGGAAGAUAAAGAACCUAAUAAUAUUGAGCUGACCACUACCUUGACAGAAAAUUCAUUCCUGCUAGCAAUGAAAGGCUCAGACCUUACCUCAGAUGAAGAACCUGACAUGGCAGCAACAAACAGAAAGUCUAUAGUUUCAGUGAAACAAGAACCAACAAUUCCACCACAGCCUCCUCCAAAGACACAUCAGAAGUGUCCCCCAAAACCACCAAUCAAACCUCUACAGCUCUUCAGCGCCAUGAGGUCCAGGAUAGAAGAGGAAACAGAGAGUAGGAAGCAGGUGGAUGAAUGGUUAAGAGACAAUGGCUUGGUGGACAAAGAAAGGAAUGAAGAGGAAGACGAAGGAAAGGAUGGAGGAAAGGUAAAUGUAGAUACAGAGUCAAUGACACCAACCAUGACAGAAAUGCCUUCCCGACCAAAAGAAAUAGUAAUGAAGUCCAUCCCCAAGUCUUCAGUGUAUCAGGAGGUGGAACUGCCAAGAGCAGGGCAAAGAUUUUGUCUCAUGCCCCCUUGUAGAAACAAACCGUCAGAAAUCACAACUGAGAACAAAACUCUUCAUCAGUCUCAGCUCCCAGGGAAACAACACCUGAACCAUGCAGAUGGACAAGUCCAUCCUGGUCCUCUUCCACAAAAGAUUCCUAUUCCUGUCCCAUGGGUACAAGACUCUGAAGUAAUUUCUAAGUUGCCAUCUGGACAUCAGGAAGGGACAGAGGUGGUGGGGUCGAAGUUGGAUCCACAUCAGCUGGAUGCACAGGAAAUUGCUGAGAUGCUUUUGGAUGGAGAACUAAAGCAAACAAACCAGAAGACCAAUGCAAGAGGAAAGGUGAAACAGCUUGCCAAGAAGGUGAUCGGUAGAUUGAAAGAGGGACGAGAGGACAAAAGAAGAAGCAAAGCGCUAGAGAUGGAAAUAGAUGAUACUGAACUGACACAGGAUGAAAAGUGGCAUGGGGAAGAAGGAGGAAUGAAGGAUGAGGAGAAAGAGGAAGGGAAUGAUGCAGUUACUGUGGACCAAUCAGCAGUGACAGAGACACAGAGCUAUGCUGACCGGAUGAAAGGGAGGAUUGCAAGAAGAAAUGCAACAUCUGAAAGUCCUUUCAGCUCCUUUAAAGUCUCCAGUCCAGUGAAGCUAGUGGAAGAGCUCCUGUCGGGUGAUGAGUGGUCACAGUUCCUGCACAGAGACCAGAGCCCCAUGAAUGACCCCCCUCCAUGCCAGACACACUUGGAGGACACGGGACAGCUCAGUGCGAACUUCCAGUUAAACUCCAGUGGUGAACAGGGCCUCACUCUGGAUGUGUUUGAAGGCGACCAUGCUGUCCCAGAAGAUCCCGUCUAUGAGGAUAUCGACCUGCCAACUAUUAACAAAGAAGAGCAGCAAACACGUGAGCAACAGGAGAACAGAGCACGCAGCACUGCUAUUCCAAGUAUACUGCUGGAGAGGGAAACAAAUCCGAUGAUCGCAGUGUGUUUUGAGCACUUCAGUUCAGAAGUACAUCAUCAAGCUGAGCAAGAAGAGGAAACACAGACCACCACAGAAAUGGCAUCGCCAUAA